Molecule: long non-coding RNA, 866 nt
Organism: Orcinus orca (killer whale)
Lineage: Eukaryota; Metazoa; Chordata; Mammalia; Artiodactyla; Delphinidae
Exons: 2
Source: RefSeq, a predicted model, not a curated record
GCGCGCCCCGCGGGCAGCCCGGGCGGGGGGCGCCGGGAGGGGCCCUGGACGCCCGCGCGCUCCACGCUGAGCCCAUGCCGCUCGGUGAGUUCCAGAGUCGGGUCAAGUUUACUUCCCGCGGGUGUGUCCGUCUGGCUUCUGGGUGGACGCCAAGGAACGCGCUUCUGCCGCGGUUGCUCCAGCCCUGCUGGAGCUCGGGGAUGGCCCCAGACGAGGGCAUAGGGUGUGUGCUUCUGCGAGCUUAAGAAGCGCUGGCCAGAAUUCCUGGCAGACAAAUCGGUUCGCUCCUGCACGACUCUUGGCUUUGCUGAGCCUUGGCUGGUCCUAAAAGCGUCAGCCAAAGGACAUCUGAAUAUAUUUAUUCGCACCAUAGAGAGAUGUGAGGGGCAGCCUAAGGAGUGAGGUGGAGACGUUGUUUUUCUGAAGAUGGGGCACCGUUUAUUCAAGAAAAUAUCAGCCAACAAGAAACAGCUUCUUAAACUGAGCUCCCCAAAUAAGAAGCUGAAGCCAUGCCAGGUGGAGGGAGUCAAGGCAAAGAGUGAGGGCACUUCUGCUGCAACUGGUCCUGAUGGCACUGUGCCCAGCCAUCCAGAAAGACGUCUUAUCAUGGCAUUGAGGAAUGACUGGUGAUGCCCACCCCGACUGUCUCAAAAGAUGCGAUCUCUGUUUCCUUUGUUCCACCCAUAUUAACCUGUAUUCUAGUGCAGCUUUUGGGGUCUUUGUCUUACCCUCAACUGCUGGACUGCCAACAACUUUUGGGCAGAAAAUGGGGCCUUUGCUACCCCUUGCUUUCCAUGUUCUCUCUGAAAUGCCCAGCUCAGUACUCAGCAUUUAACGAGUGCCCAAUAAACACUAAAGGGAUUGUA